UACGAAGGGUGCAAGCGUUACUCGGAAUUACUGGGCGUAAAGCGUGCGUAGGUGGUCGUUUAAGUCCGUUGUGAAAGCCCUGGGCUCAACCUGGGAACUGCAGUGGAUACUGGGCGACUAGAGCGUGGUAGAGGGUAGCGGAAUUCCUGGUGUAGCAGUGAAAUGCGUAGAGAUCAGGAGGAACAUCCAUGGCGAAGGCAGCUACCUGGACCAACACUGACACUGAGGCACGAAAGCGUGGGGAGCAAACAGG
Molecule: ribosomal RNA, 253 nt
Filed under: uncultured bacterium
Lineage: Bacteria
Description: partial 16S ribosomal RNA
Rfam family: Bacterial small subunit ribosomal RNA
Source: RNAcentral